GGACCGCAGCCGGGGCGGGGCUUGUUAUUCUGAAAGAGGGCGGAGCCUCCUCUGGCGAUGUCAUAUACUCGCAAGCCUGGGCACGCCCUUCAGGGCUGCGCGUGGUGGGAAAAGGGGGUGGGGCAGGCGCCACCGCCUUGGUGACACCAUCUAGGGAAUGGAAUGUGGGGGCGGGGCCGUGGCGGCCUCAACCCGGUCACCACUGCUGGGAAAGCCGAAGGGAGCGGGAAGGAGGGAGGAGUGGUACUAAGCGCAGCAGAGAAAUACGGUAAUGAAAACGAAGCUGUCGCUGGGCUUCUCUGCGCGUACCCCAGCUCGGUUCCCAGCGGUGGUAGCAGCCCGCCGGCAUAGCUCCUACUCGCCUGCCCGGUGCGUGGCAGCCAGCUCCGCUCGCCCGCCCGCAGCAGAGCAAGGGCAGCCUCAGUGCUGUCACUCCGUAGAAGUGAGUGGCGUGUUACUCAGUAAAUCUACUGAUGGGACAGUCAUGGAGGAUGCAAACUAAGUUGUACAGCAGUGCCCUGUGGAAUUCGGUAGCAGCUCCAGACAGCUACAAGAGGACCUGUCACCCUUUGCACCUGACCAGAUCCAGCAGCUUCCACUCCACUCAGGAGCUUGCACCACCUGUGAAAGAGCUUCUGAAUCGUCUUGAAGAGCCUACAUCCUGUGCUCAUCAAUAGCAGACCCAAGAGCAUAAGUCCAUGAGAGGAUAAGUGUCAGGCCUGUCAUUUCACCUUUCCCCCCCCCCCUCAUUUCACCUUUUCCCCUUUCCCUCAGGUCACCUUCACAGUACAGUCUCUGCAUAGCAUCUGAUUUACUAAAAUUUUAAGUGAUCUCUGGACUUUUUUGCUGUUGGUUGUCAGUUCUUCCUUUUUCCCAUCCAACCUCUUUACUACCCAGCCUCCCUUUUCCUGUCCAGCCUGUCUCCUUUCUCCCUCUAGUUUUCUUCCUUCUGACUUAGUCCUAAAACUAAUUUCUUCCCCACCAGUCUCAUUUCACCCACUCCUAUUUCAAUGCAAGAUAACCAAUAAGAAAAGAUAACCCAUACCUACCCCAUUAAGAGAUAUGCAUAACAAUUUAAACAACAGCAUGUUGUAAUCUUGUCCUCACCUUCCCUCCCUCUACUUGUUUUGGCUCUGUUUAGACUCUGUUUGGCUCUGUUUAGACUGGAACUUCUUCAGUCAGGGACCAUGAUAAUUAAUCUAUAAAGCACCAAGCCCACCUUGCAUUUGAUAUAAAUACCUAAACACAUCCCCUUCUCUUUCUAGGGUAUACUGGUAUUAGAGAAGAAAUACUGCCAUAGAGAAAAAAUGACUUUCCUUUUUUCUUUUCAUUUUAAGUUUAAUAUUAAAUACAGGCUUUCUGUAUGCCCAAGAUUUCAGACUUAAGCUAGACUGAUUCUAUUGGUAAACGAAGGACCAUAUAUGUCCCUCUACGUGCACAUGAAAGUUGUUAAUGUGGAUAUGGAGCAGUAUGCGUCCCCAAGGACGCUACAAAAUUGCCACAAUAUAAGAAACUGAGCUUUACUGAAAAAAGUGGCACUACAGGAAGAUAACUGUCCUGGGAACAUAGGAACUGUCAUGCUAGAGUCAACUGGUUGUCCAUUUAUCCCAGUAUUUGGUCUGUGAUAGUGACCAGUACCAGUUACAUUAUAGGAAAGUGCAAGGAGCCUGCCCAUAAGGGAAGUUCUCCCAUCAGUUAGUGGAUGGCUUUGGCCCUGUAACAUAGAGGUUUUAUAUCUUCUAUAUCCUGCUAAUGUAACUGCAUGUUCUCCUCUGAGUCCAGUCUUUAUUAAAAUCCUACUCAGCUUUUUGCUUUUGUGACCUUUGUAGGCGUGAGUUCCACAGCCUUUUUUUUUUUAAAUGCAGCAUGUAUUUCCUUUCAUGGGUUUUAAGUGUUGCCUCCUAAUUUCUAUUUCUACUAAGCUAUGCUUUUAAAAAAGAUAGGAUAAGUAUUGCUGAGCACAGAAUACUAGGUGAGUGCAUUUUUAGGCAAAGUUUAAAAACUUUCUAUACUCUGAUCAGACCCCACUGCUACCUUUUUACAGAAAAGCAAGAAUCUAGUUCAGACUCAUCUGUCCCCAAGCUGUGACAAUUCAAGAUAGUACCAGAAAUCAAGUUGAAGUGAUGAAUACACUGAAAACUGCUUAUAGGCUUUAGAAUCUUUCAGAAUCUUAAAAUGUGUAGUGUAUUUAUAUUAUUGAUACUUUAAAAAUGAAAUUUAAAAAUGCUAUGGGCAAGAUAUGAAACAGUAAAUAAAAUGAACAUUUUAUUGCUUAUUAAAAUAACUUAAAUUCCUCUACAAUUCGUUAAAAACUACCAUAAAAGAAAUCAUUCCAGGGUGCAAGAUUGUAAGGAUUAACUUUUCCAUUAUUGAUAGCACUGUCUUUCUGCCUCAGAACACGACAAAUGCGUGUGCAUGCAUAUAAUUCUGUAUGACAGUAAUCAUUGUUACUAACAUUUAACAACACAAACAUAUACCUCUGAAUCAAUUGAAUAACUGAACACAUUCAAAUAGCUUAGUUUGAAAAUGUAACUUUCUUCUUUUGAAUAAGCAGUUUUGUUAUGGAGCUAAAUCAGUCAGUUUAACAAAGGGCAGUAUGUUGAUGAAUUAUGUAUGUUUUCUGCAUUUUCUGCCUGCUGAUAAUUGACAGGUAUCAUGGCACCUUCUACUAGCUUCCUGUAAUUAUGAGCCACAUAUCAAAUACAGACUUGUAUACUGUUUCCCCUC
RNA transcript from Caretta caretta (loggerhead turtle), 2727 nucleotides. RefSeq lists it as uncharacterized. The record is from RefSeq and is a predicted model, not a curated record. Lineage: Eukaryota; Metazoa; Chordata; Testudines; Cheloniidae.